CCUUCGAUAGCUCAGUUGGUAGAGCGGAGGACUGUAGCAGAUUCCCUGUAGUAAUCCUUAGGUCGCUGGUUCGAUUCCGGCUCGAAGGA
Molecule: transfer RNA, 89 nt
Filed under: Heterocephalus glaber (naked mole-rat)
Lineage: Eukaryota; Metazoa; Chordata; Mammalia; Rodentia; Bathyergidae
Rfam family: tRNA
About the family: Transfer RNA (tRNA) molecules are approximately 80 nucleotides in length.
Source: Rfam by way of RNAcentral